RNAcentral lists this ribosomal RNA (253 nucleotides) under uncultured bacterium. Its description in RNAcentral is "partial 16S ribosomal RNA". It matches the Rfam family "Bacterial small subunit ribosomal RNA", at positions 524 to 776 of the family's 1533-position model. The record is from RNAcentral.
UACGAAGGGGGCUAGCGUUGCUCGGAAUUACUGGGCGUAAAGGGCGCGUAGGCGGACAGUUUAGUCAGAGGUUAAAGCCCAGGGCUCAACCUUGGAAUCGCCUUUGAUACUGGCUGUCUUGAGUACGGGAGAGGUGUGUGGAACUCCGAGUGUAGAGGUGAAAUUCGUAGAUAUUCGGAAGAACACCAGUGGCGAAGGCGACACACUGGCCCGUUACUGACGCUGAGGCGCGAAAGCGUGGGGAGCGAACAGG